RNAcentral lists this ribosomal RNA (210 nucleotides) under uncultured bacterium. Its description in RNAcentral is "partial 16S ribosomal RNA". It matches the Rfam family "Bacterial small subunit ribosomal RNA", at positions 29 to 224 of the family's 1533-position model. The record is from RNAcentral.
AGCGAACGUUAGCGGCGCGCCUAACACAUGCAAGUCGCACGAGAAAGGGCUUCGGCCCCGGUAAAGUGGCGCACGGGUGAGUAACACGUGGGUAAUCUUCCUCCGAGCGGGGGAUAACAUUCCGAAAGGAGUGCUAAUACCGCAUAAGACCACGGAGUCGAAAGACACUGAGGUAAAAGCUGGCCUCUUCACGAAAGCUAGCACUUGGGA